CUGUAAGCCUGCGAAGGUGGCCUGUGAGGGUUGCUGGAGGUAUCAGAAGUGCGAAUGCUGACAUAAGUAACGAUAAAGCGGGUGAAAAGCCCGCUCGCCGGAAGACCAAGGGUUCCUGUCCAACGUUAAUCGGGGCAGGGUGAGUCGACCCCUAAGGCGAGGCCGAAAGGCGUAGUCGAUGGGAAACGGGUUAAUAUUCCCGUACUUGGUGUUACUGCGAAGGGGGGACGGAGAAGGCUAUGUUGGCCGGGCGACGGUUGUCCCGGUUUAAGCGUGUAGGUGUGUGUUCCAGGUAAAUCCGGUUCACUUUAACACUGAGGCGUGACGACGAGGCACUACGGUGCUGAAGCAACAAAUGCCCUGCUUCCAGGAAAAGCCUCUAAGCAUCAGGUAACAUCAAAUCGUACCCCAAACCGACACAGGUGGUCAGGUAGAGAAUACCAAGGCGCUUGAGAGAACUCGGGUGAAGGAACUAGGCAAAAUGGUGCCGUAACUUCGGGAGAAGGCACGCUGACACGUAGGUGAAGUGAUUUACUCAUGGAGCUGAAGUCAGUCGAAGAUACCAGCUGGCUGCAACUGUUUAUUAAAAACACAGCACUGUGCAAACACGAAAGUGGACGUAUACGGUGUGACGCCUGCCCGGUGCCGGAAGGUUAAUUGAUGGGGUCAGCGCAAGCGAAGCUCCUGAUCGAAGCCCCGGUAAACGGCGGCCGUAACUAUAACGGUCCUAAGGUAGCGAAAUUCCUUGUCGGGUAAGUUCCGACCUGCACGAAUGGCGUAAUGAUGGCCAGGCUGUCUCCACCCGAGACUCAGUGAAAUUGAACUCGCUGUGAAGAUGCAGUGUACCCGCGGCAAGACGGAAAGACCCCGUGAACCUUUACUAUAGCUUGACACUGAACAUUGAGCCUUGAUGUGUAGGAUAGGUGGGAGGCUUUGAAGUGUGGACGCCAGUCUGCAUGGAGCCGACCUUGAAAUACCACCCUUUAAUGUUUGAUGUUCUAACGUGGACCCGUUACCCGGGUUGCGGACAGUGUCUGGUGGGUAGUUUGACUGGGGCGGUCUCCUCCUAAAGAGUAACGGAGGAGCACGAAGGUUGGCUAAUCCUGGUCGGACAUCAGGAGGUUAGUGCAAUGGCAUAAGCCAGCUUGACUGCGAGCGUGACGGCGCGAGCAGGUGCGAAAGCAGGUCAUAGUGAUCCGGUGGUUCUGAAUGGAAGGGCCAUCGCUCAACGGAUAAAAGGUACUCCGGGGAUAACAGGCUGAUACCGCCCAAGAGUUCAUAUCGACGGCGGUGUUUGGCACCUCGAUGUCGGCUCAUCACAUCCUGGGGCUGAAGUAGGUCCCAAGGGUAUGGCUGUUCGCCAUUUAAAGUGGUACGCGAGCUGGGUUUAGAACGUCGUGAGACAGUUCGGUCCCUAUCUGCCGUGGGCGCUGGAGAACUGAGGGGGGCUGCUCCUAGU
This 1459-nucleotide ribosomal RNA is filed under the name Salmonella enterica subsp. enterica serovar Enteritidis. RNAcentral's name for it is "partial 23S ribosomal RNA". It matches the Rfam family "Bacterial large subunit ribosomal RNA", at positions 1241 to 2682 of the family's 2925-position model. Lineage: Bacteria; Pseudomonadati; Pseudomonadota; Gammaproteobacteria; Enterobacterales; Enterobacteriaceae. The record is from RNAcentral.